This 125-nucleotide small nucleolar RNA is filed under the name Echinops telfairi (small Madagascar hedgehog). RNAcentral's name for it is "Small nucleolar RNA SNORA61 (ENSETEG00000023278.1)". Lineage: Eukaryota; Metazoa; Chordata; Mammalia; Afrosoricida; Tenrecidae. The record is from RNAcentral.
ACCCUUCAAAAUCCUCACCCAUCAGAUCUAAACAUUGGUCUGAGUGGCUCUAAAAGGAGGAAAAGUAAAACGGAAAUGGAUUUGGACUCUUUUGUGGCAUACAAGUUUGGUCCAAAAAGACAGAC